Molecule: ribosomal RNA, 442 nt
Filed under: uncultured bacterium
Lineage: Bacteria
Description: partial 16S ribosomal RNA
Rfam family: Bacterial small subunit ribosomal RNA
Source: RNAcentral
CCUACGGGUGGCAGCAGUGGGGAAUAUUGGGCAAUGGGCGCGAGCCUGACCCAGCAACGCCGCGUGAAGGAAGAAGGCUUUCGGGUUGUUAACUUCUUUUUAUAGAGAAGAGCAGAAGACGAUACCUCUUUAAUAAGCCACAGCUAACUACGUGCCAUCGGCCGCGGUCAUACGUAGGUGGCAAGCGUUGUCCGGGUUUACUGGGUUAAACGGGCGUUAAGCGGGGAAGGCAAGUCAGAUGUGAAAGCCGGCGGCGCAACCGCGGAACUGCAUUUGAAACUGUUUUUCUUGAGUACAGGUGAGGUAAUCGGAAUUCCUUGUGUAGCGGUGAAAUGCGUAGAUAUAAGGAAGAACACCGAUGGCGAAGGCGGAUGACUGGACGGCAACUGACGGUGAGGCGCGAAAGCGUGGGUAGCAAACAGGAUUAGAUACCCUAGUAGUC